RNAcentral lists this ribosomal RNA (351 nucleotides) under uncultured bacterium. RNAcentral's name for it is "bacterial SSU rRNA". It matches the Rfam family "Bacterial small subunit ribosomal RNA", at positions 1018 to 1364 of the family's 1533-position model. The record is from RNAcentral.
GGGGAUGCUCUUGGGCACAAGUGCUGCAUGGCUGNGUCGUCAGCGUCUGUGUCGUGAGAUGUUGGGUUAAGUCCCGCAACGAGCGGCAACCCUUGUCUCUAGUUACUAACAGUUAGGCUGAGCACUUAGAGAGACUGCCGGUGAUAAACCGGAGGAAGGUGGGGAUGACGUCAAGUCAUCAUGGCCCUUAUGGGCUGGGCUACGCACGUGCUACAAUGGGCAGUACAGAGGGCUGCAAACCCGCGAGGGGGAGCUAAUCUCACAAAACUGCUCGUAGUCCAGGAUCGCAGUCUGCAACUCGACUGCGUGAAGUCAGGAUCGCUAGUAAUCGCAUAUCAGAAGCUGCAGGUG